This 74-nucleotide transfer RNA is filed under the name Chromatium okenii. Its description in RNAcentral is "tRNA-Cys". It matches the Rfam family "tRNA". Rfam says of the family: Transfer RNA (tRNA) molecules are approximately 80 nucleotides in length. Their secondary structure includes four short double-helical elements and three loops (D, anti-codon, and T loops). The record is from RNAcentral. Lineage: Bacteria; Pseudomonadati; Pseudomonadota; Gammaproteobacteria; Chromatiales; Chromatiaceae. RNAcentral also lists the same sequence under 1 other name.
GGCUGAAUGGCAGAGUGGUCAUGCACCGGCCUGCAAAGCCGUGUACCUCGGUUCGAUUCCGGGUUCAGCCUCCA